AACGAACGCUGGCGGCAGGCUUAACACAUGCAAGUCGAGCGCCCCGCAAGGGGAGCGGCAGACGGGCGAGUAACGCGUGGGAACGUACCUUUUGGUUCGGAACAACUCCGGGAAACUGGAGCUAAUACCGGAUAAGCCCUAACGGGGAAAGAUUUAUCGCCGAAAGAUCGGCCCGCGUCUGAUUAGCUAGUUGGUGAGGUAACGGCUCACCAAGGCGACGAUCAGUAGCUGGCCUGAGAGGAUGAUCAGCCACACUGGGACUGAGACACGGCCCAGACUCCUACGGGAGGCAGCAGUGGGGAAUAUUGGACAAUGGGCGCAAGCCUGAUCCAGCCAUGCCGCGUGAGUGAUGAAGGCCUUAGGGUUGUAAAGCUCUUUUGUCCGGGAAGAUAAUGACUGUACCGGAAGAAUAAGCCCCGGCUAACUUCGUG
Molecule: ribosomal RNA, 431 nt
Filed under: uncultured bacterium
Lineage: Bacteria
Description: partial 16S ribosomal RNA
Rfam family: Bacterial small subunit ribosomal RNA
Source: RNAcentral